This 78-nucleotide transfer RNA is filed under the name Mesorhizobium sp. Its description in RNAcentral is "tRNA-Pro". The record is from RNAcentral. Lineage: Bacteria; Pseudomonadati; Pseudomonadota; Alphaproteobacteria; Hyphomicrobiales; Phyllobacteriaceae.
GGGAAUCUGCAGCUUUUCUGGCAAUCCACAUCGUUCGGGACGAUGGGGUCGCAGGUUCAAAUCCUGCCACUCCGACCA